GAUGAACGCUGGCGGCGUGCUUAACACAUGCAAGUCGAACGGAACUACUCCAAUGAGAGUCUUCGGAAAGGAUUUGGUUUAGUUUAGUGGCGGACGGGUGAGUAACGCGUGGGUAACCUGCCCUAUACAGGGGGAUAACAGUUGGAAACGACUGUUAAUACCGCAUAAGCACACAGGAGCGCAUGCUCCGGUGUGAAAAACUCCGGUGGUAUAGGAUGGACCCGCGUCUGAUUAGCUGGUUGGCGGGGUAACGGCCCACCAAGGCGACGAUCAGUAGCCGGCCUGAGAGGGUGAACGGCCACAUUGGGACUGAGACACGGCCCAAACUCCUACGGGAGGCAGCAGUGGGGAAUAUUGCACAAUGGGGGAAACCCUGAUGCAGCGACGCCGCGUGAGCGAAGAAGUAUCUCGGUAUGUAAAGCUCUAUCAGCAGGGAAGAAAAUGACGGUACCUGACUAAGAAGCCCCGGCUAACUACGUG
This 480-nucleotide ribosomal RNA is filed under the name uncultured bacterium. RNAcentral describes it as "partial 16S ribosomal RNA". It matches the Rfam family "Bacterial small subunit ribosomal RNA", at positions 28 to 507 of the family's 1533-position model. The record is from RNAcentral.